Molecule: unclassified non-coding RNA, 507 nt
Filed under: Plazia daphnoides
Lineage: Eukaryota; Viridiplantae; Streptophyta; Magnoliopsida; Asterales; Asteraceae
Description: partial external transcribed spacer
Source: RNAcentral
UUUUAGCUGUUUGUUUGGCCUUUGUGCCAGGUGGGCGGCUACUGGUUGGGCGGUUUCGGGGAAUGUCGACCGUAAAGGUGCGUGAGUGGUGUUUGGUAUGUUACGGGUGGUUGGAUGUCUGCUUGCGCAGCAACGUCCAUCCGUGCAAACCUCUUCAUUAGUGCGACAAGGUCCGAACGUCCUUGAGCACCCGUUGGGUUCCCUGUGCUGCAUACCUAAUCGAGGUAUCGUAUCGUUGUAUCGAUGUCCCUUUUCAUCAUGUGUCGCUUGCGCGGCAUGGGGUGAACCUCGAAGCGGUCCCUUUGAUCCAGCUCGUCGAUGCGUAUGCGUCCUCGUCAUGGCUCGUUGGGCACCGCUUGGUUUCUUGGAUACGGAACCUCAUGUGGGUAUGGGGUCUUUACGAUCACGUGUUUGCCCUUAUCGAGCGUUCUCGCUUCUUUGAAACGACCGUCGGUCAUGUUCCGGCAUGCUCGUGCGUGGCCGACGACGUCGAAGAGGAAUGCUACC